UCCUAUCACUUGAAGAAGUUUGGCAUCAUAGUAUUCAAUCGGAAGCUUAGAGAAUCUUACCCGCACUGCCACUUCUUCAAUGGCCUCAUUAGUCGAGUGAAGAUCUGGAGACCAUUCCCUAAGUGUAAGGUAAUGAUCAUAGAUAAGCCAAGGCACUUUUUCAAUGGUCCUCCCUGUUUGAGAAAGAAAUCAUUCCCCAGAUCUAUCAUACGGAAAACCCUAUUAC
RNAcentral lists this long non-coding RNA (226 nucleotides) under Glycine max (soybean). RNAcentral's name for it is "long non-coding RNA (GMAX_LNC002211)". Lineage: Eukaryota; Viridiplantae; Streptophyta; Magnoliopsida; Fabales; Fabaceae. The record is from RNAcentral.